Long non-coding RNA from Calypte anna (Anna's hummingbird), 838 nucleotides. RefSeq lists it as uncharacterized. Lineage: Eukaryota; Metazoa; Chordata; Aves; Apodiformes; Trochilidae. The record is from RefSeq and is a predicted model, not a curated record. The transcript is spliced from 4 exons.
UGGCUCCGCGGGGGUCACGCUCAGUUGGGAGGAGCCCCGCACUUCUUCGAAGACCCUCUGCAGCCAGGAAGCCCCGCCGCGCUCUUGGAGUCAUCAGUGCAGAACUGAAUUAGAAAUGAAGCAGAAAGCCAGAAUUCUUCCUCUUCUCUACUUACUACAGUUAUUCCUGAUUUUGAAGGAGAAUCAGAAAAGGUCGGAGGAAACCUCUGAAGGGCACCUUGUUUAACCCUAAAGCAGGGCAAAGUUAUAAAAGGUUACUCAGGACCUUGUCCAGGUCCCAAGCUGAUUCCUGCUGGGCACCUCCAUGAAAGCUGGAGCACAGAUACCAAAAGCUGUUCCAUAGCCCAGGCAAGAACAAGAAACCACAGAUUGUUUUCAGUAGCCAACUAAAACCUGCCCUAAGGUGUCUCAGCUGAAGCCAAAGCCCACACACAAACACUCCUAGAGACUGCAAGGAGCAUCAGACCCUGCAUUCACCUGCUUCAGAUGGCAAGAAAAACAAAAACCUUCACUCUACCCAGAACACAUGAAGUUUAUUUGGUAAUACUCAGAUGUAUUUCCCAAAGUAGCUGUCUGUUAAAUACAAAUCACAUUCUGCUGAGUGAAGGGACUUCGUUAAUACAUAAGAUUAUACUUUUGAUUUUACAGGAGUUCUUGCAGUGGCUGUGUGAGCAGGAAGGCAAACCUGACAGGAAUCAGCCUACUCAUUCCACUUCUCUAGAGGACUGGUGGAUCUCACACACAGAGGAGAUGCAAAACCCAUGCAGAUUUCUAAAGGCAGUGAUACCACUCCUUCAUGUCAUUACAGCAUGCAAGGAUCACAACAAUCUAACACUUA